AACGAACGCUGGCGGCAUGCCUAACACAUGCAAGUCGAACGAGACCUUCGGGUCUAGUGGCGCACGGGUGCGUAACGCGUGGGAACCUGCCCUUAGGUUCGGAAUAACUCCCCGAAAGGGGUGCUAAUACCGGAUAAUGUCUUCGGACCAAAGAUUUAUCGCCUUUGGAUGGGCCCGCGUUGGAUUAGCUAGUUGGUAGGGUAAAAGCCUACCAAGGCGACGAUCCAUAGCUGGUCUGAGAGGAUGAUCAGCCACACUGGGACUGAGACACGGCCCAGACUCCUACGGGAGGGAGCAGUGGGGAAUAUUGGACAAGGGGCGAAAGCCUGAUCCAGCAAUGCCGCGUGAGUGAUGAAGGCCUUAGGGUUGUAAAGCUCUUUUACCCGGGAUGAUAAUGACAGUACCGGGAGAAUAAGCGCCGGCUAACUCCGUG
Molecule: ribosomal RNA, 433 nt
Filed under: uncultured bacterium
Lineage: Bacteria
Description: partial 16S ribosomal RNA
Rfam family: Bacterial small subunit ribosomal RNA
Source: RNAcentral